AAGUCGAACGGACGAUCGAGGCUUGCCUUGAUCGUUAGUGGCGGACGGCUGAGUAACGCGUAGGUGACCUGUCCCGAAGUGGGGAAUAACUGCCCGAAAGGGUGGCUAAUACCGCAUGUGGUGGUGUGUUCAUUCACACCAGUAAAGCCGCAAGGCGCUUCGGGAGGGGCCUGCGUCCGAUUAGCUCGUUGGUGGGGUAACGGCUCACCAAGGCGACGAUCGGUAGGUGGUCUGAGAGGACGAUCACCCAGACUGGGACUGAGACACGGCCCAGACUCCUACGGGAGGCAGCAGUCGGGAAUUUUGCGCAAUGGACGAAAGUCUGACGCAGCAACGCCGCGUGAGGGAUGAAGGCCUUCGGGUUGUAAACCUCUUUUAUCAGGGAAGAUAAUGACGGUACCUGAUGAAUAAGUCACGGCUAACUACGUGCCAGCAGCCGCG
This 441-nucleotide ribosomal RNA is filed under the name uncultured soil bacterium. Its description in RNAcentral is "bacterial SSU rRNA". It matches the Rfam family "Bacterial small subunit ribosomal RNA", at positions 59 to 519 of the family's 1533-position model. The record is from RNAcentral.